AUCCAGCAGUGAAAGGUCUGAUUUAUCUUCCCUGGGAGACCGGGAGGCAUAGAGAAUAAUCUACUGCAAGGAGCCCUUGCUGAUCAAAUUGACUGAAGCAUGCUGACAGUCUGCCUGUGUUCCCAGGGGUACCCCGUGACAGAGUGAGGGCGUUGCACAGGGCAGCAGGAGAAAGAUGACAUUAAGUUGAGUGGGAACAUUGAUCUGCUGGAGAUUAGGAAGGCUCUGCAGAGGGAUCUGGGCAGGCUGAAUUGAUGGGCCAAGGCCAAUGGUAUGUGAUUCAACAAGGUGAAGUGUCAGGUCCUGCCCUUGUGCCACAACAACUCCAUGGAACACUCCAGGCUUGAGACAGAGCAGCUGGAAAGAGACUCAGCGGAAAAGGACCUGGGGGUUGCUGGUCAACAGCAGCUCAGGGCUUGCAGGACUUUGCCAUUGUAUGAGAAGCAGGGGCACAGAAAGCCACACAAUGAUUCCCCCAUCACCUGCUGACCUGAAGAACUGACUACUAGCCUAGAAUGACACUCUCCAACCUCUUGGACCAUGUAGGUGAUGUCUCCUGUCCACUGUCUUCUCCCCACUACCCAUUUUUCCAGACAGAGUGAAAUGAGGACAGCAGCUUUAUUUUUGGAGAAACACAACCUUUUCUAAGGGCAGAGCUCAAUGAAGACAUCAAAGAAGAUUCUCUCAGACAGACUUGUGAAGAUAGGACUGGGCUCUAAACCAGCAGGCAGACCUGCCAUGAGGAGAUGAUUUGGGGCAAAAUGAAGGGUUUCAACCCAUGAAAUUCUGUUGUGUUAAAAACUGUUAUGAAGACCUCAGUGCUGCCCAUGACCACUAGAAAAAGACAGAUUUAACAAGGGAAAGAGACAUGAAUUUGAUGUGCUGAAAUACCCAACUAUUUGUUCCCUGAUGUUUGGUUAUGCUGAAUGCUUUUGUUCCAGCCAGGGUUGCUCAUCUGUGAGAAACAAACUGGUGGCACAAUCCUCUACACACAACCUUCGUGCUUCUCCAUCUGUGGCUUAAGAAGGUUCACAGCUCACUUAAUUUGCAGGCACUGGAUGUGCCAGUCUCUGCCAUAACUGAUGUGUGUGGAAACAGGUAAGUGAAGGUGAAAAACCAAUUUGAGGGCAUGUGUAAGGUAGAGAAUUUGUUGUUUUGCUAUGCAGAAAUUUAGGAGUUAUUGAUUUGUUCUUUUUAAAAAUGGCAUCUAAAUUUAGCUCUCAAAGGGUGUUGUUUUCUAGGGAUUAGUGACAGGCUGUGCUGCCAAGGUGUGUAGGCUGAUUUUGGAGGAGCCUCCAGCCAGCCUGGAUGGAGACUGAUAUCUUGCAGAUUCCUUAGAACACACUGGCAAAAGGACACUUCCUAUUAGACUUGGCCUACAAAAGCUAUAGAUGAACUGUUCCUUUUUACAGACAAUACUAAUCCUGCCAACUCAAAGGGAACAGCAACUCUGGAGGAAUCCAAGAUGCCUUGGCACCCCUACUCAAUGACAAACUGGGUAUGCUUCCUUCCGAGAGCACUGCUGCAGGGCAUUCUGGCAGCAGGAUUUAUGGGACAGGGGCUAUUUAUGUAUAAAGUAAAAGAAAGGAAUGUUGAAUUGUUUUCAUCUUCAUACAGCUACCUGAUCCCAUUUCAAAUACCACUGAUCCUCAGCAGAACUUGUAACCUUCUAGACCAUGAACUGACUGGCAAGAGCUGUGGACUGUCAUGGUUCACAUGGGACUAAAAUCCAAAUACCCAGAAUGUCACAGACUCUGAUCUGGGCAUCAAAUCUGAGCUUCUGGCAGGGAGAUAUCAAAUCCUGGGCUGAACCUCUUCUAAUUUGUCAGUUCCCAAGCUCAAAACAACAGACGGUUCCUGCAGCUAACAAACUACUGCUCCAAGAGAAGGGAUCAGUGGGAGCAGUUGGGCAUUGAUGAGCAAAGGUUGAGAGUCUGCUCCACGCUGUUUAGAGCUUUGUGAUAAUAAUUAGACCCUAAAAAUGUGUCAGUUCUGCAUGAGACAAAUCAUCAGUGUGGGCCAGGAGCAUGUUUGCUUGGGAGUGUGAGUAUCUGUGAUUUGCGUGAGUUAGCUAAUGUAGCUGUGACACUGCAUAGUCACAUCCCAGUUUCUAGGCUAUAGGAAUGGGGUAGGAAUAAUGAGAGAAGGAAGGACUCUUGCUACCUCCUAAUUUCCACUGCCUUCACCACUUCUGAAUUUCACAAAACCUUCCCCCACAGACCUGCACCCAGCAUUGCUGCUGUAAAGGCAGUGAGUAGCAUAAGGGUAUUCAAAUAACAGCUUUUCUUUCCCAUCAGAAAAGUUGCUGGCUAUAAAUUUCCAUUUGAGUCUUUUUAGAGAAGAAAAUUGUUAUGUCUGUAUUACUUUUCUUUCUGCCACAUCUCUUGUCUCAAAGGCUUUCAUGGUCUGAGGAGGGAGGAGGCUGCUCCUCCUUGGGAAGAGAAACUGCAGAAGUGGCCAGGGUUGAUUGCAGAAACAGGGAAAGAAGGAAUGGUGAUAUGAAGUGGAUUUGCUGGUCUGAACCAUUGAGGUGUUCUGAAGUCAUGCUCAUCUCCUGCCCAAGAUCUCCACCUUCUCAGCACUGAAUUAACCUUCUGUGUUCAAGAGGGUGAAGAGGAGGAUUUGCUGAUAUCUCUGGGUCUUUCCAGGAUCUAUGGCACAAAACUGCAGUUUGUUUUCAAGACAAUUGUAAUGUUUUACCUUCUAAACUCUUCUUUAUUUUUUCCUCUCCAGCCUUCUCAGUGUUGCCUACCUGGAGUAUCUGCAAUCCUUUCAGUUGCUACUCCUUUCUUUUCUUCUAUGCUUGGAUUUUGUGUAGAAGCUUACUGAAGAUCUGGACAUGAAUUCUGCACUCUGCUCCUGUGAAUGUGACUGUUGCCAUCUGUCCAAUGGGUAGAAUCAUACAGGAUCCAUGGUUGAUGGCUGAGAUCAACAUUGUUAUCCUUGAGCCUGUCUCCUUUGAAGAGAGAAAGACAAAAUGCACAUAACUUAUGGAGCCUGAGAUUGCUGAAUUUCACUUGGACUUGAAUGCCAGCCUCGUAACUUUGACUUGGGAACUCGUCAAGCCUCAUGACACAAGAAAAAUGUUGGUACUCAGUGCUGGAGAAGUCAACUGCACAAAUGAACCUCCCUCAGAACAACAGUUAUAACUUACCUGGCUACUGCCACAGCAGUGCCAGAACCACCAUUUCCACUGUGAACUGGAGUCCCUGAUCCAUGGACAGAACCCACCAAGCCAGAGAAGGGAAGAUGUGUUUCUGUCUUGGCUGGACUGUAAGCAUAUAAUCCCAUUCUCUAAUGCAAAAUUACCACUUCAUUUCUUUUAUCUGUGAGGAGUACUGUCUUCUCUUCUGGAAUGCCACUGCUUUGGGGGCUGUGCUGGUCCCUACUGACCAUCAAUUUCUAAUAAUGUUGAGGACUGCAUUUCAAGGAUGAAACCAAGUAAUUCCUCUGUCAGCUCAUUGUGAGAUGUCUCUGGCUAAAAGCCUGGGAAACAAUUUUCUUAUGACCUACUGUUUGAUGAUAGUGGACUGUUUUAUGCUGCUGCAGUCUCCCCCACAUGCUUGGCUUUGACUUAUAAAGCUCAGCUGAGAGAGAAAAAAACCCACUGCUGAUGUGCAUUGCUGCUGCUGGCGAAGGCCAGAGCCCUGCAUGGGGCCUCCAAAGAGGGACAAGAAUCUAUCUGUUGAGAUUGAGCCUGAUUUAAUUCUUCUUAUAAAGCAUCUUGGCAGCUGUCUAGAUCUGACAGGUUGAUAAUAAGACUUUCCCUCAAUGCAAAAAGGAAAGCAAUUUACAUUGGCUUCACACCUCUGGCAAGCAGGAAAGAUCCUGCCCUACGCUAGCGUGAAUGGGGAGCAGACGUGAGAACGAGAGCAGGCAGCACCAGGGGAAAGGGGGAAGGUUUGCUCCAUGCUUGAGCAAGCACAAGGAAAUGCCAUUUGGAAAACGUCGACGGGUGAGAGAGCUGGGCUUGGAAUCAGCAUUCUGUCCAUGACAGCAGUUCGGAACAGCUUUCCAGCCAAAUCCUGAAGGAUCACUCUCUUACAAGGAGCAGCAGCACUACCUGAUUUCAUUUUGCUCCAUUUAGCCCAGCGCUUCUGCUGAUACACUGCUCAUUCUCCCUCACAGCACACAAGCACAAGCACCAGGCUGCACCAAGAUUUUUUGGGUUUUGUCAUUUCAUUGAUAGGCAGCUGACAGUCUCCAGGGCAGGACUGUGGCACUCUGGCAAUAAUUGUGUGGAGAAGGUCUCUCCAAGAGGUGCAAGGAUGCAAUUACCCAGCCUCUAUCUCCCCCAAUACCUGAGCAGGCACAGAUAUUCCCAAGAGCACUGACAAGCAGAGGCUUAACCUGUAUUAUAUUCUGCCCUAAACCUGCAUCACACUAGUCCUGGUUCUAAGGGCCUGGUAAGGUGGGCCCUCAGCAGCUUUCUGCUGCUCUCAUUGCCUCCAGAAUGAACAACUUGAGGCAGCCUUUCCAUGCUUCAUACAUGGGCUGUACUGCUCCAUACCUCAGUGCAGUGGCAUGGGAGGUAAUAAUUCUGGGAUGCACUUCCUAAUCCUCAGGUGAAAGCAUGCCAAGACAGAACCAUAUCCUUCAGGGAAAUGGCAUUUAAAAAGUUUUGGUCUUCACAAUCCACCAGCUUUAUUGGCCUCUGCUCUGCCUGUCAAAUUUGAGCUGAGAGGUUGUAGGGAGGAAAGAACUGGAUUUAUGUCAAAACAAACAAAAGUGGACAGGUAGUGAGAGCAUUUACUUUUCUUUUUCCCUGGUCACUAGGAUCAUGCAGAGGAUUUUUUUCUGCUAAAAGGCACUGGCUUGGCCCUGGUGGUCUUUCUUUUGGAGUGCUCUCUGUUACAGAGAUCUUUUUAGGAGACCUCAUUCUUGAACAUUCUCAGUCCAGGGCAGUGCAGGCUGGGGGACUCCUGAGAGAUUCGCAAUGCCCUGGUGCCUUGGUGGAGGUGGGAAGGAGGACACUUGGGUGCAGAGAGGUACUGAUGGCUGCUAGGAAGCAGAGCAGAAGAGGAUCUUGUGCUGUAGGGACACAAUCACCAGAAUGUAAGUUUGUUUUCUGCCCCCUGAUUUAAUACGUCUUUAAAGGAAAUCCCUGCUAAAAUUUGCAUUGGUGUAUUCCAGCUUUGGACAGUGCCAUGCAGCUCUUUCAGGGAAAAUGGAGAUCCCUGAUUUAGUGUGUUGGCAAGGGUGAGUAGGGCCACAGAGUAGGGACAGUGUCCUGUGGCAGAUGGGAAGGUUCAGGUGGUUGCAGAGAAGGUCUGAAAUGCAGAUCUUUUGAUGAUGUAGAAUAUUGCUCAAGAGAAGAUACAUGACCUGUUUUGGAGGAAGUAGUCUGUAAAAAUCAGGAAUAAGAGGACUUUUCCUGAAUAUUAGUUGGAAGAGCAGCACAAACAGUUGUUGAGAUUGCAUCUGUAUCCUGGCUGAGCUGUGCUGGAGGGUAGUGUUGUCUGGAGGUCUUAAACACUGCCUGUCAUUGUGCCAGGUAAAUAUGGGACCCUGUGAGAGAGGCUCAGCCCUUACAUAAAUCUUUACAAAUGAGAGAUCCUGCCUGAAAGCAAAAGAGAGGAAAUUAAGACAAGUGCAAAGCACUCCUCUGGGGCAGGCAAAGCAGAAUGCACAAACACAAAACAGGGAAUAUGCAAUGAGGCAUCAGGAGAGGACCUGGGUUGUGCUGGUUCACAAGCAGAAUAUGAAUCAACCCUGCGGCUGCAGCAAAAUACUUCAUUGUAUCCAACACUGUAUUAACAAGAAUGCUCUUUGCCAGACUUGUGAGGCAAUGAUUACAAACCUCCUUGGGGCUGGUAGAUCUUCAGCCAAGUGUGGGUGUCCAGAACUAAUGUGGAACUUUGUCUACACACCAUUAAAAUAUUUGGAGAAAGAGCCCAGGAUGAAAAAAAUCAGCAACAAAACAGGUGAAUGAUAAGAGGUCAGGCAAACAACUCCUGUGGACAAAGACUGAAGACAGUUUAUUUAUUCAUUUUAAGAGAUAAAUUAUGGAAAUGGGAUGCAGUCAAUCUUCCUCACAAAAGUAAUACUUAUAAAAAAGCUGAUGAUGAGCUGUUUUCCAUGGUACUGGUAUAAGAAAAAGUGUUUGAAUUCAUAGUGAAGGUGAUUUAAGAUGUUUAUUAGGAAAACCCUUCUAAUCCCUAGACGGGUAAAACACAGAAACAAGCUGUCUAGGAAAGAUGUGGCAUCCCCUUUCUUAGUGAAUUUUAGGAAUGGGCUAGACAAACAACUAUUAAGACAAAUAGUUAUUCAAGUAUAUUUGAUCCUGUCUCUGAUGAUCCCAUGAAAUGCCUUUCUGCCAUACGUAUCUAUAAUUAAGCCCAAUGUAAAAACACAGCCUCUUCCUUGAGGAGUUAAAAACCCAUCUAUAAAUAGAUAAAAUCUUCAUCUUUCAGUGGUAAAACUAGGUUAAACGUGCCUUAUGUGACAGCUCUGUUAAUAUAUCAUUGUGGAGCAAACAUCAGGAGGAAAGGGAACUCUUUAAACCAAAGAACAGCACUGCUGUAACAACACGAGUAUAAAACUGGCCAGGCAUAAAUUAGGCAGGAAAUUGAAAGAAAGUUUUGAACUGUCAGAACAGCAAUGUUCUGAAACAGCCUUUCAUAAUGGGAAUGCUAGGGGCAAAAAUCAGAGCUUGUUUUUAAAAUAGAGCUUGCUAAAUUAAUUCAAAGGAUAUAGAAAACUACUGCCUGUCAUAGCAGAGUGCAGGACUAGGAGAUCCCUUUUGUUGCUGGAUUUCGGGAGCUGAGAGGAAGAGCAGUAUUUUUGUGCCAGUGGGACUGUUUUCUGCUCUUUAUUGACAUGAAUGUGUCUCUUUCAUCCCUCUGCUUUUUCAUGUGUGAGACAGUUACUGAUAUUUCUUUCAAGAUCUGGAGGUCACAUCUCUGCUUAAAACUACAUAAUUGGAUGAAGGUGAAGGAGGGAAUUCCAAGUUCGGGAAGACCUUCUUGAAGGGAACUUGCAAAUCCUCAGGUGCUGGGUGUCCUCUUGACUUUUCCAAGGCUGCAUUUUGUGCUAAAUGGAGUACGUGUCCUUUGGGGUUAAUAUGAAGAGCUGGGAGAACUGCCUCGGGGAAGAGCUGAGCCACUGUAGUCUGCUAAACUGGAGCCCAACCUCAUGUCCCAGAGGGUCAUGACUUGGCGGCUUAGGUGGGGCAAGACAAGGUGUCUAAGUGAGGCAAAAAACUGCUGCAAAGCAGUACAGUGUGCCAAACAUGGCUAGCAGGACAGCACAGGCUCUGAGCCAGGAGAGGAACUUAAUUUCUUUGCUGACAAAUGAAACAAAGAUGUGAUUGGAAGUGCCACACUUUGGAGGUAUGAGCAAUUUCCCUAUAAUCAAUCAUCCAAACUAAAUUGUUUUCAUUUCUUUGCAUUAUUUAGCAGCCGUUUGAUGGCAGACAAUAUGAGCUGGAUUUUGUUUUUCACCCAUCCCUUACGUUGAUGUUAUUUGUGGGCUUUGGCAGUGGGAUGCUGGGGUGAAGGAAGGCUGAACUGGGCUUCUCUAUUAAAAAAAAACUUGGCAAAGAAAAUGUCUGUGAUUAUCAGCUAAUCAUUCAGACAUAGAUGUUGUUUGUCUGCUCUUAUUAGGUCUGUAAAGUAUCUGGCUCUGAGAAGCUGACAGUGAAACACCUCCAGGAGAGGAUGUCAGAAGAAAGAGGGAAGCAGUGAGGAGGUGAUAAGGUAGAGCUGAGUUUGAUAAGCACCCCUGACUCCUCCAGUGACUGCAAGAAAGGAGCACUUCAGCAGUGAAGUGCCAUACUCUGCUGAACAAACUUGGCAUCUCAUCAAGCUGACUUAUUUG
Long non-coding RNA from Pseudopipra pipra, 7818 nucleotides. RefSeq lists it as uncharacterized. The transcript has 10 exons. The record is from RefSeq and is a predicted model, not a curated record. Lineage: Eukaryota; Metazoa; Chordata; Aves; Passeriformes; Pipridae.